AAAAUCAGAAAAUCUAAAUUACGUGGACCAUCAAAUCUCCCUCAUUAAUUGAGGUGGCAAAUCAGAUGGUCCAAAGGGCGCUAUCCACCAUGGACCUUAGUCAGCGCAUGGCAAAUGUGGUAAUCAAAAGCAACGUUCAGGAUUAAAACGUGAGGGACAGAUCAUGUGGUUCAAAGCCUUGUCAAGUCAUCGCCGGAGCUAGAGCUCCGGUCAUCUUCUCCGGUGAAUCUCACUAGACUGGUCAACAUGAA
RNAcentral lists this long non-coding RNA (251 nucleotides) under Lathyrus oleraceus (garden pea). RNAcentral's name for it is "Pisum sativum (pea) long non-coding RNA (PSAT_LNC021232)". The record is from RNAcentral. Lineage: Eukaryota; Viridiplantae; Streptophyta; Magnoliopsida; Fabales; Fabaceae.